RNAcentral lists this ribosomal RNA (587 nucleotides) under uncultured bacterium. Its description in RNAcentral is "bacterial SSU rRNA". It matches the Rfam family "Bacterial small subunit ribosomal RNA", at positions 67 to 651 of the family's 1533-position model. The record is from RNAcentral.
CGGUAACAGAACUAGCUUGCUAGUUGCUGACGAGUGGCGGACGGGUGAGUAAUACUUAGGGAUCUGCCUCUGUGUGGGGGAUAACUAUUGGAAACGAUAGCUAAUACCGCAUAACGUCUACGGACCAAAGAGGGCUUCGGCUCUCGCGCAGAGAGGAACCUAAGCGAGAUUAGCUUGUUGGUGAGGUAAAGGCUCACCAAGGCGACGAUCUCUAGCUGUUCUGAGAGGAAGAUCAGCCACACUGGAACUGAGACACGGUCCAGACUCCUACGGGAGGCAGCAGUGGGGAAUAUUGCACAAUGGGGGCAACCCUGAUGCAGCCAUGCCGCGUGUGUGAAGAAGGCCUUCGGGUUGUAAAGCACUUUCAGUUGUGAGGAAAGGUUAGUAGUUAAUACCUGCUAGCUGUGACGUUAACAACAGAAGAAGCACCGGCUAACUCCGUGCCAGCAGCCGCGGUAAUACGGAGGGUGCGAGCGUUAAUCGGAAUUACUGGGCGUAAAGCGCACGCAGGCGGUCUGUUAAGCUAGAUGUGAAAGCCCCGCGCUCAACGUGGGAGGGUCAUUUAGAACUGGCAGACUAGAGUCUUG